This 934-nucleotide non-coding RNA is filed under the name Protopterus annectens (West African lungfish). RNAcentral's name for it is "12S ribosomal RNA". It matches the Rfam family "Bacterial small subunit ribosomal RNA". The record is from RNAcentral. Lineage: Eukaryota; Metazoa; Chordata; Ceratodontiformes; Protopteridae.
CAACAGGUUUGGUCCUGGCCUUAAUGUCAGCUUUAACUAAACUUAUACAUGCAAGUCCCCGCGCCCCAGUGAAAAUGCCCUCACACGCCAGUAGGUGUAGAGGAGCUGGCAUCAGGCCCACACUAAGUAGCCCAAGACGCCUUGCAACGCCACACCCCCAAGGGACACAGCAGUAAUUAAAAUUGGACUAUAAGUGUAAACUUGAUCCAGCCAUGGUUAAAUAAAGUUGGCCAACCUCGUGCCAGCCGCCGCGGUUACACGAGGAACUUAAGUUGAUGCCUCCGGCGUAUAGGAUGAUUAAGAGGAACUUUUACUAAAAUCAAAUAUUGGCCCUGCUGUUAUACGCGCUCGCCAACUAGAAACUCAAAAUUUUUAACUAACAGUACAUCUGAACUCAUGAAAGUCAGGAAACAAACUAGGAUUAGAUACCCUACUAUGCCUGACCCUAAACUAUGACAAGUUUAACUACAUAACUUGCCCGCCAGGGAACUACAAGCCCAAGCUUAAAACCCAAAGGACUUGGCGGUGCCUCACACCCACCUAGAGGAGCCUGUUCUAGAACCGAUAAUCCACGUUUUACCCAACCUUCCCUAGCAUUUCAGCCUAUAUACCGCCGUCGCCAGCCAACCCCCUGAGGGUAGACUAGUUGGCAGAAUAGAUAACAUCUAGCACGUCAGGUCGAGGUGUAGCACAUGAGAAGGAAGAAAUGGGCUACAUUUUCUAGUAGAAAACACGGACAAUCCCAUGAAACUGGGAUUCUAAGCUGGAUUUAGUAGUAAGAGAAAAUAAGAAUAUUUUUCUGAAGCCGGCCAUGAGGCGCGCACACACCGCCCGUCACUCUCCUCAACAAUCGUAAACGAUAAAUAAUUAAUUUAGAUAAAAAAGAGGAGGCAAGUCGUAACAUGGUAAGUGUACCGGAAGGUGUACUUGGUUU